Molecule: small RNA, 457 nt
Filed under: Pongo abelii (Sumatran orangutan)
Lineage: Eukaryota; Metazoa; Chordata; Mammalia; Primates; Hominidae
Description: processed transcript
Source: RNAcentral
GGCCUGGACUCUGCUGGGAUUAUUUUGACCCCCCAGGGCAGUGUAGCCACCUGACUGGCUUUCUCUCUGGGCAGGAGACAGGGCGCACGCCUGCAGGUUUUGGGAUUUGAGGUUGACGCGGUGAACUCUGUCCAGUUUUCAAACCACACAGGCUAUGCCCACUGGAAGGGCCAAGUGCUGAAUUCAGAUGAGCUCCAGGAGUUGUAUGAAGGCCUGAGGCUGAACAACAUGAAUAAAUAUGACUACGUGCUCACAGGUUAUACGAGGGACAAGUCGUUCCUGGCCAUGGUGGUGGACAUUGUACAGGAGCUGAAGCAGCAGAACCCCAGGCUGGUGUACGUGUGUGAUCCAGUCUUGGGUGACAAGUGGGAUGGCGAAGGCUCGAUGAGCAAGACCCCAUCUCAAAAAAACAAAAGACAUCUAGAAACCACUUAACCCAUGAGCUGUAUAGUAAUAG